UUGAACGCUGGCGGCAUGCUUUACACAUGCAAGUCGAACGGUAACAGGUUAAGCUGACGAGUGGCGAACGGGUGAGUAAUGCAUCGGAACGUGCCCGAUCGUGGGGGAUAACGCAGCGAAAGUUACGCUAAUACCGCAUACGCCCUGAGGGGGAAAGCGGGGGAUUCGUAAGAACCUCGCGCAAUUAGAGCGGCCGAUGUCGGAUUAGCUAGUUGGUGGGGUAAAGGCCUACCAAGGCGACGAUCCGUAGCUGGUCUGAGAGGAUGAUCAGCCACACUGGGACUGAGACACGGCCCAGACUCCUACGGGAGGCAGCAGUGGGGAAUUUUGGACAAUGGGCGCAAGCCUGAUCCAGCCAUGCCGCGUGAGUGAAGAAGGCCUUCGGGUUGUAAAGCUCUUUCAGACGGAAAGAAAUCGGGCGCGUGAAUAGCGUGCCUGGAUGACGGUACUGUCAGAAGAAGCACCGGCUAACUACGU
This 477-nucleotide ribosomal RNA is filed under the name uncultured bacterium. RNAcentral describes it as "bacterial SSU rRNA". It matches the Rfam family "Bacterial small subunit ribosomal RNA", at positions 30 to 506 of the family's 1533-position model. The record is from RNAcentral.